UACAGAGGGUGCAAGCGUUAAUCGGAGUUACUGGGCGUAAAGGGCGCGUAGGCGGAUGAAUAAGUCAAUUGUGAAAUCCCCGGGCUUAACCUGGGAAAGUCAGUUGAGACUGUACAUCUAGAGUGAAGUAGAGGGUGACGGAAUUUCCGGUGUAGCGGUGAAAUGCGUAGAUAUCGGAAGGAACACCAGUGGCGAAGGCGGUCACCUGGACUUUUACUGACGCUGAGGCGCGAAAGCAUGGGUAGCGAACAGG
RNAcentral lists this ribosomal RNA (253 nucleotides) under uncultured prokaryote. RNAcentral's name for it is "partial 16S ribosomal RNA". It matches the Rfam family "Bacterial small subunit ribosomal RNA", at positions 524 to 776 of the family's 1533-position model. The record is from RNAcentral.